AUAAGGGGAAGGCUUGAAUUAUAAAAAUGUAUCCAAAUGCCAGGAAUUAAUUAAUAAAAGAGAUGUGUUGUGCUAGGUAAUGGAAAAAAGGAAAGAAAUGUGAACUAAGGAAUAAUUGAAGAGGUUAUGUCCCAAGUGAGAUGACUUAGCCGAUCGGGCCGAGAUCGGACGCCAUGUUGUACACAUGGUGGCAUUUACAUUGGAUUU
RNAcentral lists this long non-coding RNA (207 nucleotides) under Nicotiana benthamiana. RNAcentral describes it as "long non-coding RNA (NBEN_LNC000236)". The record is from RNAcentral. Lineage: Eukaryota; Viridiplantae; Streptophyta; Magnoliopsida; Solanales; Solanaceae.